UGUGUGUGUGUGUCUCUGUGUGUGUGUCUGUGUGUGUGUGAGUGCCUGUGUGUGUGUGUGUGUCUCUGUGUGAGUGCCUCUGUGUGUGUGUGUCUGUGUGUCUGUGUGUGUGUGUGUCUGUGUGUGUGUGUGUCUGUGUGUGAGUGCCUGUGUGUGUGUGUGCCUCUGUGUGUGUGUGUGUCUGUGUGUGUGUGAGUGCCUGUGUGUGUGUGUUUGUGUGUGUGUCUGUGUGUGUGUGUGUGUGUGUGUGUGUGUGUGUGUCUCUGUGUGUGUGUGAGUGCCUGUGUGUGUGUGUGUCUGUGCACUGGUGCUCUCGUGGCUCCUGCCUAUUGGUGCAAGAUGCUCUCAGGGAAGGUGGCAUCCACCACCCCUGGAGACCACAACAAGUAGUGCCUGAACAGGGACCUUUGUCUGGCACCCCUGAGGAAUGUCUCCAGCAUGGCUGGAAUCCAAGUCACCUUCGGGUCAGGCACUACCCUAAGGCAACCUCUGAGUUUUAUCAGGGCACGCUGAGGGGAGAGACCUGCAACCCUCCCAGAGUCACAGACUGGAGGAUUGCUUUCCUUGACAGACCCCCACAAGAUCCUUUGUUGGCCCACCAUUGGAUCCCUGGAGCCUUAGACCUUAAUAAACCCUUGUUAGAACUCUG
Haemorhous mexicanus (house finch) is the source of this 649-nucleotide long non-coding RNA. RefSeq lists it as uncharacterized. Lineage: Eukaryota; Metazoa; Chordata; Aves; Passeriformes; Fringillidae. The transcript has 2 exons. The record is from RefSeq and is a predicted model, not a curated record.